Molecule: transfer RNA, 73 nt
Filed under: Caudoviricetes sp.
Lineage: Duplodnaviria; Heunggongvirae; Uroviricota; Caudoviricetes
Description: tRNA-Lys
Rfam family: tRNA
About the family: Transfer RNA (tRNA) molecules are approximately 80 nucleotides in length. Their secondary structure includes four short double-helical elements and three loops (D, anti-codon, and T loops).
Source: RNAcentral
GUACCAUUAGCUCAGUUGGUAGAGCACAUGACUUUUAAUCAUGUGGUCCGGAGUUCAAGUCUCCGAUGGUACA